GACGAACGCUGGCGGCGUGCUUAACACAUGCAAGUCGAGCGGUAAGGCCUUUCGGGGUACACGAGCGGCGAACGGGUGAGUAACACGUGGGUGACCUGCCCUCCACUUCGGGAUAAGCCUGGGAAACUGGGUCUAAUACGGGAUGGGACCAUUCCAUGCAUGUGGGGUGGUGGAAAGUCGGUGCUGUUGUGGUGCUGGCGGUGGGAGUGGGCC
RNAcentral lists this ribosomal RNA (213 nucleotides) under uncultured bacterium. RNAcentral describes it as "partial 16S ribosomal RNA". It matches the Rfam family "Bacterial small subunit ribosomal RNA", at positions 28 to 231 of the family's 1533-position model. The record is from RNAcentral.